Molecule: ribosomal RNA, 778 nt
Filed under: Koetonga clivicola
Lineage: Eukaryota; Metazoa; Arthropoda; Insecta; Trichoptera; Hydrobiosidae
Description: SSU rRNA
Rfam family: Eukaryotic small subunit ribosomal RNA
Source: RNAcentral
AUAACUGUGGCAAUUCUAGAGCUAAUACAUGCAAACGAAGUUCUGACCGGCAACGGGAGGAAUGCUUUUAUUAGAUCAAAAACCAAUCGGCGGCGGGGCGACCCGUCCGCCGCUCUCCGAGAUGACUCUAGAUAACUUUGAGCUGAUCGCACGGUCUAGUACCGGCGACGCAUCUUUCAAAUGUCUGCCUUAUCAACUGUCGAUGGUAGUUUAUGCGACUACCAUGGUUGUCACGGGUAACGGGGAAUCAGGGUUCGAUUCCGGAGAGGGAGCCUGAGAAACGGCUACCACAUCCACGGAAGGCAGCAGGCGCGCAAAUUACCCACUCCCGGCACGGGGAGGUAGUGACGAAAAAUAACGAUACGGGACUCGUCCGAGGCCUCGUGAUCGGAAUGAUUACACUUUAAAUCCUUUAAUGAGGAUCCAUUGGAGGGCAAGUCUGGUGCCAGCAGCCGCGGUAAUUCCAGCUCCAAUAGCAUAUACUAAAGUUGUUGCGGUUAAAAAGCUCGUAGUUGAAAUUGUGUCCUGCGGUGUCGGUCUACCGACUGCGGUACGACAGGCACGUCUGCGGGGCUUCUCGCCGGUGCGUCCACCGCCGGUGCGUGUCGCGACCUUCCUGACGGUCGGCCGCGCGCGUCGAGGCGGGCCGUCGCGGCUGUUUACUUUGAACAAAUUAGAGUGCUCAAAGCGGGCUAACACUUGCCUGAAUAUUGUACGCAUGGAAUAAUAGAAUAGGACCUCGGUUCUGUUUUGUUGGCUUUCUGAUACCAGAGGUAAU